This 75-nucleotide transfer RNA is filed under the name Clostridiales bacterium. RNAcentral's name for it is "tRNA-Val". It matches the Rfam family "tRNA". Rfam says of the family: Transfer RNA (tRNA) molecules are approximately 80 nucleotides in length. Their secondary structure includes four short double-helical elements and three loops (D, anti-codon, and T loops). Lineage: Bacteria; Bacillati; Bacillota; Clostridia; Eubacteriales. RNAcentral also lists the same sequence under 1 other name. The record is from RNAcentral.
GGGCGGAUAGCUCAGCGGGAGAGCGCUUGACUCACAUUCAAGAGGUCCCGGGUUCGAUCCCCGGUCCGCCCACCA